UCAAAUAUCCUUGUUGACUAA
RNAcentral lists this non-coding RNA (21 nucleotides) under Caenorhabditis elegans. Lineage: Eukaryota; Metazoa; Nematoda; Chromadorea; Rhabditida; Rhabditidae. The record is from RNAcentral.